Molecule: ribosomal RNA, 253 nt
Filed under: uncultured bacterium
Lineage: Bacteria
Description: partial 16S ribosomal RNA
Rfam family: Bacterial small subunit ribosomal RNA
Source: RNAcentral
UACGUAGGGUGCAAGCGUUGUCCGGAAUUAUUGGGCGUAAAGAGCUCGUAGGCGGUUUGUUGCGUCGGCUGUGAAAUCCCGAGGCUCAACCUCGGGUCUGCAGUCGAUACGAGCAAACUAGAGUGUUGCAGGGGAGACUGGAAUUCCUGGUGUAGCGGUGAAAUGCGCAGAUAUCAGGAGGAACACCGGUGGCGAAGGCGGGUCCCUGGACAGUUCCUGACGCUGAGGCACGAAGGCCAGGGGAGCAAACGGG